Molecule: ribosomal RNA, 254 nt
Filed under: uncultured bacterium
Lineage: Bacteria
Description: partial 16S ribosomal RNA
Rfam family: Bacterial small subunit ribosomal RNA
Source: RNAcentral
CACGUAGGGACCAAGCGUUGCCCGGAUUUAUUGGGCGUAAAGAGCUCGUAGGCGGUUCGGUAAGUCGGGUGUGAAAACUCUGGGCUCAACCCGGAGAGGCCACCCGAUACUGCCGUGACUUGAGUCCGGUAGGGGAGCACGGAAUUCCUGGUGUAGCGGUGAAAUGCGCAGAUAUCAGGAGGAACACCGGUGGCGAAGGCGGUGCUCUGGGCCGGUACUGACGCUGAGGAGCGAAAGCGUGGGUAGCAAACAGG